Long non-coding RNA from Rhea pennata, 697 nucleotides. RefSeq lists it as uncharacterized. NCBI's taxonomy places the organism in Eukaryota, Metazoa, Chordata, Aves, Rheiformes, Rheidae. The transcript is spliced from 5 exons. The record is from RefSeq and is a predicted model, not a curated record.
AAAAAAGGCUACAUGGAAAUCAUGAAACACUAGAGCAGAAAGUACCAUUGUUUGACAGCACUGUGGCCUAUGGAAGAUGGAUACCAGAAUGAGGAUUUGCCUCCAAAUUUUAUAAGCUUCUAAAAAAUCAAAUGAUGAGAAACAAAUGUGAAAAGUUCACAAAACUAGUGAUUACUUAAAAAAAAAUUCUUAAAGCCUUAUUGCUUUUAGCAAGCUUCUUGCAAGAAGGACAUUAAUUAUCUGGAACACCAUCGUUUAACAGGAAGAAAUCAAGGCACAAAUUGCCCUACAGUCAGGGGAACUGUACUGCAGGCUGAAGAUGGAGAACACACCAGCAGUGAAACUGAAGCAGCGAUGCUCACUGGAAAGAGGAAGGAGUAUUGCGAUUAUAUAAUCUGAUCUUCAGCAGUCGGCCACUGUGAUCGAAGGAGCUGGAGCACUUGCCCUGCGAGGAGAAGCUGACAGAAUUGGGCUCAUUCAACCUGGAGAAGAGCAUACAAAUGGCUCAGCUGCAUGCUUUGAAGAGGUGGGAGUGAGAAGGCAUUUCAUCCUGACUGCAAAACUACAUCCCAUCCUUGAGGCAAUGGGUCAGAGCAAAAAGAGGACAAUUCCUUUAUGUUGUGCAUUUUUUACAUGAGAGUUGGGCUGUGUGGUGUUUUAGAGGUUAAACAAACACUCUCUCGAGACAAGCUGGAGU